CUGUUUUUCAUUGGUCAGGAAUACUUGCUAAUGUUUCAGAGGCUUGUAAGCAAGAUCUUGACCUUAUGUGUCCCAACCAUUGCAGUAAUUCGAGGACAUGCAGUUGGCACAGGCUGCAUUUUUGCAUUGGCACAUGACUAUCGGCUCAUGGCCUCUAACUAUGGUUAUAUUUUCAUGAAUGAGUCACUGCAAUUGCAAUUUGGAGCCUAGUUAUCAAUACUUGGGAAGGUAUAUGCAAUUCAGAAGUCAGAAAAUAACUUAAGUUUAAUUUUCAUAUCCGCUUUCAAUAUACCAUGGC
Magnolia sinica is the source of this 298-nucleotide long non-coding RNA. RefSeq lists it as uncharacterized. The record is from RefSeq and is a predicted model, not a curated record. NCBI's taxonomy places the organism in Eukaryota, Viridiplantae, Streptophyta, Magnoliopsida, Magnoliales, Magnoliaceae. The transcript is spliced from 3 exons.